This 497-nucleotide ribosomal RNA is filed under the name uncultured bacterium. Its description in RNAcentral is "partial 16S ribosomal RNA". It matches the Rfam family "Bacterial small subunit ribosomal RNA", at positions 28 to 507 of the family's 1533-position model. The record is from RNAcentral.
GAUGAACGCUGGCGGCGUGCCUAAUACAUGCAAGUCGAGCGAACGGACGAGAAGCUUGCUUCUCUGAUGUUAGCGGCGGACGGGUGAGUAACACGUGGAUAACCUACCUAUAAGACUGGGAUAACUCCGGAAACCGGGCGCAAUAACCGGAUAAUUUUUUAACCCGCUUGUUCCAAAGGUAAAAGCCGUUUUUCCUGUCCCUUAUACUUGGACCCGCGCUGCAUUGGCUAGUUGGUAAGGUAACGGCUUACCAAGGCAACGAUGCAUAGCCGACCUGAGAGGGUGAUCGGCCACACUGGAACUGAGACACGGUCCAGACUCCUACGGGAGGCAGCAGUAGGGAAUCUUCCGCAAUGGGCGAAAGCCUGACGGAGCAACGCCGCGUGAGUGAUGAAGGUCUUCGGAUCGUAAAACUCUGUUAUUAGGGAAGAACAUAUGUGUAAGUAACUGUGCACAUCUUGACGGUACCUAAUCAGAAAGCCACGGCUAACUACGUG